This 429-nucleotide ribosomal RNA is filed under the name Gemmatimonadota bacterium. RNAcentral's name for it is "Gemmatimonadetes bacterium partial 16S ribosomal RNA". It matches the Rfam family "Bacterial small subunit ribosomal RNA", at positions 355 to 776 of the family's 1533-position model. Lineage: Bacteria; Pseudomonadati; Gemmatimonadota. The record is from RNAcentral.
UAGGGAAUCUUCGGCAAUGGACGAAAGUCUGACCGAGCAACGCCGCGUGAGUGAAGAAGGUUUUCGGAUCGUAAAACUCUGUUGUUAGAGAAGAACAAGGACGUUAGUAACUGAACGUCCCCUGACGGUAUCUAACCAGAAAGCCACGGCUAACUACGUGCCAGCAGCCGCGGUAAUACGUAGGUGGCAAGCGUUGUCCGGAUUUAUUUGGCGUAAAGCGAGCGCAGGCGGUUUCUUAAGUCUGAUGUGAAAGCCCCCGGCUAAACCGGGGAGGGUCAUUGGAAACUGGGAGACUUGAGUGCAGAAGAGGAGAGUUGAAUUCCAUGUGUAGCGGUGAAAUGCGUAGAUAUAUGGAGGAACACCAGUGGCGAAGGCGGCUAUCUGGUCUGUAAAUGACGCUGAGGCUCGAAGGCGUGGGGAGCAAACAGG